This 329-nucleotide unclassified non-coding RNA is filed under the name soil metagenome. RNAcentral's name for it is "partial contains 5.8S ribosomal RNA, internal transcribed spacer 2, and large subunit ribosomal RNA". The stretch from base 1 to 120 matches the Rfam family "5.8S ribosomal RNA", at positions 35 to 154 of the family's 154-position model. The record is from RNAcentral.
GAUAAAGAACGCAGCGAAAUGCGAUAAGUAGUGUGAAUUGCAGAAUUCAGUGAAUCAUCGAAUCUUUGAACGCACAUUGCGCCCCUUGGUAUCCCGAGGGGCAUGCCUGUUCGAGCGUCAUUUCACCACUCAAGCCUGGCUUGGUGUUGGGCGACGUCCCCUUUGGGGACGCGCCUCGAAACGCUCGGCGGCGUGGCACCGGCUUUAAGCGUAGCAGAAUCUUUCGCUUUGGAAGUCGGGGCCCCGUCUGCCGGAAGACCUACUCGCAAGGUUGACCUCGGAUCAGGCAGGGAUACCCGCUGAACUUAAGCAUAUCAAUAAGCGGAGGA